This 405-nucleotide ribosomal RNA is filed under the name uncultured bacterium. RNAcentral's name for it is "bacterial SSU rRNA". It matches the Rfam family "Bacterial small subunit ribosomal RNA", at positions 355 to 775 of the family's 1533-position model. The record is from RNAcentral.
UGGGGAAUAUUGGGCAAUGGGGGAAACCCUGACCCAGCGACGCCGCGUGAGGGAAGAAGGCCUUAGGGUCGUAAACCUCUGUUGUGUGGGAAGAAGAGCGUGACGGUACCACACGAGGAAGUCCCGGCUAACUACGUGCCAGCAGCCGCGGUAAUACGUAGGGGACGAGCGUUGUCCGGAUUUACUGGGCGUAAAGGGCGCGUAGGCGGUCAUUUAAGUCAGCUGUGAAAUGGUUUGGCUUAACCGGAUCAUGCGGUUGAAACUGGAUGACUGGAGUGCUGGAGAGGCAAGUGGAAUUCCCAGUGUAGCGGUGAAAUGCGUAGAUAUUGGGAAGAACACCGGUGGCGAAGGCGACUUGCUGGCCAGCAACUGACGCUGAGGCGCGAAAGCCAGGGGAGCAAACGG